Lynx canadensis (Canada lynx) is the source of this 387-nucleotide long non-coding RNA. RefSeq lists it as uncharacterized. The record is from RefSeq and is a predicted model, not a curated record. NCBI's taxonomy places the organism in Eukaryota, Metazoa, Chordata, Mammalia, Carnivora, Felidae. The transcript has 3 exons.
AGUUCUACCUUUGGCAGUAACAGUUUCCACAGACCACGGAUUAUGGGACUUUAAGUUCAGUUCACCUUUAUGAAGCAUCUACUAUGGGCAAGAUCUGCAGAUACAGUGAUGGACAAGACACCAUUUCUAUCCUCAAGAAGGUCACAGUCAAGGGGGAAAAGGACACACAAACAGGGGGCUGGGACCGAGCCCGAGGCGUCUCUGAGGCGCCUGGAGACUGAGGAGGCCGAUUCGCCUGAAGGAAGGAGCCCAUCCUGUGGCUCAAGCGCCACCACCCCCGCGAAGCCUCAGGGUGCUACCUCCGCCUUCAGCGAGCCGUACUGUCUACACCACACUUGGGAUCUCGGUCGCGGCUCCUUCUCAUCCACGAAAGUGUAGCCUCUGUGG